This 373-nucleotide ribosomal RNA is filed under the name uncultured bacterium. Its description in RNAcentral is "bacterial SSU rRNA". It matches the Rfam family "Bacterial small subunit ribosomal RNA", at positions 521 to 896 of the family's 1533-position model. The record is from RNAcentral.
UAAUACGGAGGGUGCAAGCGUUGUCCGGAUUUAUUGGGUUUAAAGGGUGCGUAGGCGGCCUUAUAAGUCAGUGGUGAAAGCCCAUCGCUCAACGAUGGAACUGCCAUUGAUACUGUAAGGCUUGAGUACAGACGAGGUAGGCGGAAUUGAUGGUGUAGCGGUGAAAUGCAUAGAUACCAUCAAGAACACCGAUUGCGUAGGCAGCUUACUAGGCUGUAACUGACGCUGAGGCACGAAAGCGUGGGGAGCGAACAGGAUUAGAUACCCUGGUAGUCCACGCUGUAAACGAUGAUUACUCGAUGUUGGCGAUACACAGUCAGCGUCUUAGCGAAAGCGUUAAGUAAUCCACCUGGGGAGUACGCCCGCAAGGGUG